GAAAUAUUUCUGUUAACCAGCACAAGUACAGAGUCAGCUAAGGAGGACUCCCAGAGGAUGAACCCAUGGAUUCUGUGCAGAAGGGAAUCACCAACAUGAGGAUUAAAGGAACCUGAUGCAAGUAAAUAAUAUGAGAAACCCUGGUUUUUGUUAAUUUCAACAAAGCAGUCUCUUGGUGAACUGAGGAUGAAGAUUUAGAGCUGAAGGCUUCAAUCUUACAUCAAGCACUUAUAAAUAUGCAGCGUGCCACAAAGACUGGAACUGCAGCGAGGAGGUGAUAAAAUGUAUUUUGCACUGUUUUGUCCUCGUGUUAUUGCACCUUGCUCAGCAGAUAAUUUAUUAUGCUAGCUCUUAGUAAAUAAUUGAUGGAGAACUGAUAACACAAAAUUUACGGAAUCUGGAGAGUGUUUUAUUAGAACAUUAAUAUGCUGCAGGUGUGUUUUAUUGGUCAAUUAACACACGCCUCGAGGUGUGGGGUGAUAGAUGAGGCUGCUGUGGGAGCUUUGGAUGAGCAGGGUGGUAAAACACAUCCUGGAGGGGCUUAAUGGUGCUGGAAAGUGAGGAAAGAUUGGACAGAAAUUGCGCUGUGGUUUGGAGGUGCAGGCUAACUUUAAACAAGGAAGCAGGAGCUCUGGAAAGAGGCUAACAAUAGCAGCUUUUAUAGCAGAGGAUCAGUAGCUCCAGGCUCCCUUUUUUGAGCAGAGUGGCUGCGAGGGAAGAUGGAAAAGCGUUCCGCUCGAUGUCUGCGCGCUCCGGGGUGAAACUCCCGUAACUACACGCAAAGGGCAGAGGGCUCUGAGAGCAGAGGGCUGUCAGCAACAGCUCAGUCCAAGAGUCCAGCUGACCCUGGAGAAAUCAGCAGACACAACAGGCAGCAGCAAAUGUUUGCAGGAAAAGUGUUAGAGCAGAGCAAACAGACAGAGAUUUCUCUAGACUGCAAACUUCUCGGAGACGUGCAUGGUGUGAACUGCAUCUUAAUGGCUGGAGUGCCUGAUGGAGAGAUUCCCUUCCAUUCUUAAUUGGGAGGGAGCUGGAGCUGUGUCAUCCGGCUCCACAAAGAUCUGCUGCUUCAGACCUGCAGUUGUGUAGCAUCUCUGGGCAAAAUAAGAUGAUUUAUGACAAGGAAAGUUGGCUUUAGAGUGGAUAUUUACAAUAGGAUCUAUAAAUAUUCCCACACUUUUGACAGAUGUUAAGUUUUUCUAUUUUUGCUUCAUUUACUAUUUUAUCUCACAUCUCUCUACCCUCUUUAGCCUGCAAUAAUUUUUUUCUACCAAUCAAUGAAUGAUAAAUAGCAAGUUCAGCCCGUGGUG
This 1310-nucleotide long non-coding RNA is filed under the name Cyanistes caeruleus (blue tit). RNAcentral's name for it is "lncRNA (ENSCCEG00000004401.1)". Lineage: Eukaryota; Metazoa; Chordata; Aves; Passeriformes; Paridae. The record is from RNAcentral.